This 153-nucleotide microRNA precursor is filed under the name Pelobates cultripes (western spadefoot toad). The record is from RNAcentral. Lineage: Eukaryota; Metazoa; Chordata; Amphibia; Anura; Pelobatidae.
UCUUUCUUUCCAUUCCUCUCACAUGCUCCUGGGCUACUUUUUUAUUCUUUUGGAUUGAGGAUUACUCAGGAGACUGCUGGGUGAUUCUCAAUCCAAAAGAAUAAAAAGUUAAAAUAAAAGCCCAGGAGCAUGUGAGAGGAAUGGAAAGAUAGG